ACCUAGCAAAGGUCAGGCAAAUCUGGUCUCCAGGACAGACUCUGCUCCCUUUGAAGGAGAGAAGACAAGAAGAAGGCAUAAAGGAAGAAAGCCCCACAGAAAGGCUCAGGACUGUAGCAGCUCCUGGAAGAAAUCUAGCUCGGUGGCCUCAUUAAACAGGGCCAUGCUUUGGGGUGACAACACCUUUAUAAAAAGCAGCAGCUCCUUCCCCACACCUGUGAACAGGGGCAAUGGCAUUGACCUUCCUUUGGAAAAGCACGCAGGGAUUUAAGGACAGAAAGUGCUGCUUCAGCACUACUAUUUUUAUUCAGGAGGAGUGCUUCAGAGGAAGAUUUUUUUUUAAUACUUUUUUUUUUUUUUUCUCCUUUUCUCAUCCAAGUCCACUAAGGGCAUUCAGCCCUCAUCCCUUCUGGGCUGUUUGGCUGCAAAACAGCACAUGCAACUUCUGUGCCUCUGUGUCUCACCUGACAGCGCUUUGAUUUGCGUGAGAACCUGCCUAAGAUGUGGGGUAAUUAAUUAGGCAAUCCCCAGCAGACUUGGUUUAGGCUUUCAGGAUGGUGCAAUAUUGCUUUCCUCUCUUUGAAAGAAGGAGAUCCUUAAAAGUGUUUAAAGAAAUGAGCUGCUCAGCUGGCUCUAGGCAAGGUCUUCUCUGAGUCCUGGCCACUUUUCACUUGGAGAUUUCUUGGUUCUGCCUUUUCUGCCGGGGACAGGGACUGAAACUGAAACACUGCAAGAGAGGUUUCUCCCUUCAGGUUUUCAGUCCUUUUUUGCUGAUUCAAAGGUGCGGGCUGGAUCCUUGACACUCUAAUUCUGAAAUCAAUGGAGCUGGGACGAUUCACUCCGCCUGGGCGCCAGGGAAAUCAGUGGCUUCCAGAUCAGCUCAGCUCCAUUUGGAGAGGAAAAGAAGGGGUUGCUCUUCUACUCUCGGAGCCAGGAAGAGUACCUGGCAUGCAAGAAACCCAUCUGUCCAUCACACAACAUCUCUUAAGGGGAGAGAUCCUGCAGCAGGGACCUCAGCAGCAGUUUAGAGGGUGGUGUACAGGGGGUGUCGUGGACUGUGGGUCUCUCCUUUCCAUCUGUACAGAGUAUUUGGGAAUGGAAGCGGAGAAAAGGGCUGGAAGGGUGAAGGAGGGAUACAGUCCUGAGUGCUCCUAGAUCACUGGUUCAUCUUUUCCCCUGAGUGCGCACUGCAGAAAUGUUUUCUGAGCUUUCUACCUGUGUCCUACAGCUGGGCACCAGCAUACCACUGCAACUUCCCUCUCUCACUGAUUGCACGUGGCUCCUUUAUAAAAUAUCACUUUGUUUCUCUGGGUCUCUGAUUGCUCCAAUAAAUGUUCUCCUUUGCAGGGGAGCCUAAAACA
RNAcentral lists this long non-coding RNA (1361 nucleotides) under Anas platyrhynchos platyrhynchos (common mallard). Its description in RNAcentral is "lncRNA (ENSAPLG00000029774.1)". Lineage: Eukaryota; Metazoa; Chordata; Aves; Anseriformes; Anatidae. The record is from RNAcentral.